UUUCCGUAGGUGAACCAGCGGAAGGAUCAUUACUGUAUAACCAAGGUGCGAGGGCCGUCGUUGACCCUUAACGCUGAGCACGCCCGAGUGCCCUCACACACAUCCAUCUCACCCCUCCGUGCACCACCGCGGGGGCCCCCCUUUGGCUUGUUCGGAGGGGGGCUUUCGUUUUCACCCACUCUUUGUUUGCAGUGUAGUAUGUAUUUUUUGUUUUUCCAAACCCGCAAUCUAUACAACUGUCAACAACGGAACCCUUGCCUCUCGCAACGACGAAGAACC
Molecule: unclassified non-coding RNA, 279 nt
Filed under: plant metagenome
Description: partial contains small subunit ribosomal RNA, internal transcribed spacer 1, and 5.8S ribosomal RNA
Source: RNAcentral